ACAACAUAGAAUAGAUAGGAGAGAGAAUCUCUCAACAAGUGACAGGAUCAACAUCGUAGCUUAAUAUCAUAUUCUAUCAACAGCUUGAAAAAGCCUUUACUAUGUCUUUCUAUUGACUUUUUGAAAACCAAACAAAUGAAAAACAGCACCUGUCCUAGAAAUGCAGACUCUACAAACAGCAGCAGCCCAUUAAAUUGUAUGUGGGUGACAAAAUGACCAGAGAUUAGGAAAAAUCAGGUCAUCUUCAAUUUAUCAGUUCACUGGUCUCUAGGUGUCAACACUCCUGAUAGGUUUAUUAAGCCAACAACCAGUCUUGCAAUCCACUAGUUACAUAUCUUCAAAUUUCUUGUGCUGAAAUGUGUAAUUAAUAGUGUCUGGUUGUUACAUUAUUUGUUCUGCAGUCACGAGGGCUAAUUCAUUUCCACAUUCUAGUUAGCUAGCCUGGGAAUGUCUGUAUAUGUUGAUCAUCUAAUGUUAAGCAACUGUGUUAGUGCCAUUUAGAGGCACACAAAAGACUUGUAACCUUUUUAAUCAGCCAAAAAAAAAAUCUGUUCCUGUAAGUACUUUAAAACAGCUGACCUCAAUGCAAGCAAUUGCAUGAGUCCAAAGGAAAACAAAGAGAAGAUGGCUGGAAAUUCUAACAAUCUUGUCAUCGUCUCACAAUUCUUGAUGUUACUGUAACCCUUCCAGAAAUACACAGAAUACAGAAAUGAAAAUCAGGCAAGUGCAAACAGGUGUGUGGUGUAUUCCAAACCAUUGUCAAUAUCCUGGUUACUGAGUUGGAAUCCCAAACGGCCCCGAACCCUGUGACCUCAGUGCUCACAGUGCUCCCUGAGUCAACUCCAUAGGAACCAUUAUUGCCAACUUCAUUAUCAAUGGGGUCACUUAUGCAUCAAGACAACAUUCACCCUGCUUUUGGAAAUGGCUUUGGUCUUCUCGUUGGCUGGGGAAAACAACUAAGGAUAAACCAAGAAAAAUAUGAGAAUACAGAGGAGAAAAAUAGGAGAGAAUAUUGUUUUGGAUUAUAUGAUCACACAGCAGUGGGACUAUGCUAAGCUUAUCAUAAGUGCAGGGAAAGAAGAGGAAGUUACUGAAUGUGCCCCUUUAAAGCUCACAGCUUUGACCUGAGAAAACAAAUCAGCCUGUUAUUCUGAAGGUAUUUAUUUUACCCUAAGAAAUAC
Molecule: long non-coding RNA, 1181 nt
Filed under: Cyanistes caeruleus (blue tit)
Lineage: Eukaryota; Metazoa; Chordata; Aves; Passeriformes; Paridae
Description: lncRNA (ENSCCEG00000005072.1)
Source: RNAcentral